This 253-nucleotide ribosomal RNA is filed under the name uncultured bacterium. RNAcentral describes it as "partial 16S ribosomal RNA". It matches the Rfam family "Bacterial small subunit ribosomal RNA", at positions 524 to 776 of the family's 1533-position model. The record is from RNAcentral.
UACAGAGGGUGCGAGCGUUAAUCGGAAUUACUGGGCGUAAAGCGCGCGUAGACGGUUUUGUAAGUCAGAUGUGAAAUCCCUGGGCUCAACCUGGGAACUGCAUUUGAAACUGCAUGGCUAGAGUAUCGAAGAGGAAAGCGGAAUUCCACGUGUAGCGGUGAAAUGCGUAGAGAUGUGGAGGAACACCAGUGGCGAAGGCGGCUUUCUGGUCUGUAACUGACGCUGAGACGCGAAAGCGUGGGGAGCAAACAGG